ACCAGCAGCCAUAUCACCCUGCAACUCACAACUGGCAGCCCACUGAAGCUAAGCAGGUGUGAGCCUGGUCAGUACCUGGAUAGGAGACCUCCUGGGAAAAACGGUUGCUGCUGGAA
This 116-nucleotide ribosomal RNA is filed under the name Lepisosteus oculatus (spotted gar). Lineage: Eukaryota; Metazoa; Chordata; Actinopteri; Semionotiformes; Lepisosteidae. The record is from RNAcentral.